CCUUUCCUAUAUCAGAAGCCUUUGAUUCUGUCCUGCUUCUCAAUUCUUCAUGGAACUCCAACAUUUCAAAGACUUCUUCUUCUCUCCCCUCCUCCUUCCCAGGCGGAGUGCUGGCCAAGUCUGGGAGAGGGACUGCCCAUCAGAGGUUGGCUGCUAUCAGCAGGGGGCCGCAUGUCUCCAAUUCAGGUCAGCCUUGGCUACAGACGGGGACUUAAAAGCAAGCCACAACGCGUCCUGUGAUCCCAAUAAGAUGCAACAAAAUAAACCAGCACUUGGCAAGUGGAACACCUGGACACUCAACACCCCACCCACACAGCUAAAGGUGACUCUGCACUUUUUCAUGAAUUUCUCAUUUGAUAUCAAAUAAGCUGCACGGAUACAAUGGAGCAUGCUUAUAAAAAUUAGUUUGCAUCAAGACCAUUCUUGCACAGUUUCUCAAAACAACAACAACAACAACAACAAAAAAACCCAGAUGCAACUAAAGGUUUUUAAGUACAAUUUGACUUUUGCAUCUCUUUGUUAUAUUUCUUGGAUCCUGUGUCAUUUCCUUAGAAUCACCCUCUAAAUCUGUUCACUGUUCACCUGUCUGGCAUUGUGACAUAAAACAGAGGUUCUCUGAUUAAAAAACACUCCAAUGAGCAGCACAGAAGGAUUAAUAAUUAGCCAAUCGUUCUGUUCUGCUUUUAAAACCCUUGACGAACCAAUAUAUUGGCAUGGCUAGAGAUCAGUGUUGGCUUAAUAUGACAUUAAUAUAAGUGGGAAUGUUGGUCUCUCCUGAUUUAUUAGGAAAAAUUGAAUCCCCUUCAGUAAUUGAUUAGAGUGGAUGCAACAUGAAAACUGAGGAGUUGACAUAUUCAGUAUGUCUGAUAUCAAGCUAGGUAAUACGUAAUCAAAGCUAAGUCUCACAUGCAGGAGAAAACAGGGACCAGUGAUCAGCUUGAAAUCAAAUGACUUUAUUUAUUUAAGGGUAAACCUCCCCAGAUUGAGGCAGUUGAUUUUGUAAAAUAAAGACAAGGGUCUACAUGAGGGAGGCGCUCUGAAAACAUUAGUCAAACAUCCCCAAUGUGAGUAGGAAUCAAGCAUUUGUUUAUCUGCAUAAUUAUGGAUAAAUUAUGCAGAUAAACAACGUGGAACGAUUCUCUUGCUAUUGGCUAAACCUGCCACUUUAAGGAACCUGCAUGUGGUGUAGUUCCCUUGUUGUGGGAAGUUUGCAAAGAGAGUGCGUGUAAGCAGCGAUCGCCAGUUGAAAGUCCAUCUCUCAGCUACUGUAAUCAUACAGUGUCUGUUAUACAUAGGAGAUAAAUAACUGAAUUGUGUUCCCUGCUCUGUAAGAAUGCAGCAUUACAUCGGUCUCCCUGGUUUCCUCCCCACUCACCGCUGCAAAGUUGUUCCAAACAGUAGGUUACCAAUUAAUGAGCCAGGUGACAGGAAAGUAACACCAGCAUUUUUACGUUUCGAAGAAUCAUUAAAAAGUUAAAUUUUACCUCUGUGUGAAAGAACUAACAGCCAAGGCAAACUACUCAUAGUGAUCCAUGAAUUUCAUUUGAUGUUCUUUCCAGUGAGUCAAAAUGAGGCUAAAAUAGCUUAACUUGAAAAGAUAAACAUGUGUGUUAUGUGGCUCAUUAUUCAGCUAAAUCCAUAUGUUUAAAAAAAAGGGAGCGCAUAUUCAAAGUGUCUCCCUGAAAGGCUGAAAUCUGAUUUGACUGACAAAAUUCUGAAUGAGUGGAAUCCCUAGACGAUGUAAAUUUUCCAAUUUUUUCCACAUGCAGAUGUCUUCUGCUAAACUAGAUUGUGAGUUUUUCUCUGUGUGUUUGUUUGCGUCCCCGCCAGCCUGAUUAAGAGCAGACAUGCUUGAGCGCAUAUGUUUCUAUAUUUGCAUGUUUACGUCUUGGUGUGUGUGUGUGUGUGUGUGCAUGUGUGUGUGUGUGCAUGAACGGUUUAAAACCUGUGAUGGCAUCCCUAUGUGUUAUCCUGUGUAACACAGUCUUGGUCCUCAUUAUCAUUUCUCCCUGGGCCUGUUCUGGUGUUCAGAGCCCCACCAGAGGGGCCUUUGGCUCGGUGGGAGAGGUGUUGGAGGCGGCCUGGCCCCGCUGUGCUCCUUCCUUCCCCCUCCGCAGGGUGCCAGGCACAGCGUGUACCACUGGCAAGCCAAGCCUGACAAUGAGGCUGCCUGCACAGCCAACGCCAUGUUUGAACAGGGCAGGGGGUUGCCACGUCAUGCUGAACACACACUUGCAGGAAGGCCUGCUUGAACACACAAAUACACAAAUACACAUCUCCACAAGGCAGACUCCUGGUGGGUUCAACACAUGUUUGGAAGAUGCUACAGUGGUGAAGGCGAGUGUGUGGAGUGAGUUUGUGCAGGAGAUAAACAUCACAGACACUUUAAAAACUGUAGGUUCUAUUGAGAUUAAAUGGAAGAAUUUUGCUGACUUGUUUGGCUUUAUGGCAGAUUUAGAAUAAAAUAUGAGGCAAACAAAAUCCACAUUAUAUGCAAUAAAGGGUUAAAUUUAUAUUUUUUUGAAAGUUUGAAAUAAAAAGUGACUGCAGUUCAGUGUUUUACUAACUUCACUCUGUCAUCCUUGAUGCAGUAAUUCAGUCUCCUCCUCCCCCUGACUUCAUAGUUUCAGCAUAUUGCGUGUUCCACAUUAAGUUUUGAUUCAGUCAUAUGUUCAGCUCUCAGGUGUGCUUCUGAACCAUGAAAUAUUAAAUGUGUGAAUUCAAGGAGAUGUCACAUUCUGUGUUUCAUUCAUUAUGUACACCUACACUACUUUGUUGACUCUUUGAAUUCUAAUAGGUAUGGAUAGGAAGUAAUGCAAUCGUUAUGUUGGCAUUACAACUUGUGCUCAGCAUCUGUUUAGUUUGUAAACUUUUUCGCAGUUAUUUUUUCAGUUGUUGUCUAGACGAAAACGAAAAUCUGGUGAAUGUUAAAAUGUUAAAAGAGCAUUAGGAAGGCAUCCUAAAAAUGUAGCUGUGUGAAUAUUGGCUUGAAAUGUGUUAACAUGUGAGCGAGUGUGUAUCUAUGUGUGAAUGUGUUUACACGACCUCCUCCUUCUCUGCUCUUCUCUCUCUAAGUGUCACAUCUCUUCUCGAAGCCGUCCGUGGGAGUCAAUCCCACUCAGUCCCAAAUAAAGUAGGGCCACUGGUAGAUAUUAAACAGUGAUACAUGCACAGGCAAGGGCGUAACUGUUCUGAAACCAAGACAAAAUCCACGAUGCAAAUGUCUGUGGUCUCCAGUGUCGCACACCCACCAAUAUAAGCAUAUCCAGACACAUACAGAUCACUGUAGACGUACAUGUAUG
Haplochromis burtoni (Burton's mouthbrooder) is the source of this 3302-nucleotide long non-coding RNA. RefSeq lists it as uncharacterized. The transcript has 2 exons. The record is from RefSeq and is a predicted model, not a curated record. Lineage: Eukaryota; Metazoa; Chordata; Actinopteri; Cichliformes; Cichlidae.